RNAcentral lists this ribosomal RNA (448 nucleotides) under Bellardia vulgaris. RNAcentral describes it as "partial 16S ribosomal RNA". The record is from RNAcentral. Lineage: Eukaryota; Metazoa; Arthropoda; Insecta; Diptera; Calliphoridae.
UUUAAAUGGCCGCAGUAUAUUAACUGUGCAAAGGUAGCAUAAUCAUUAGUCUUUUAAUUGAAGGCUGGUAUGAAUGGUUGGACGAGAUAUUAACUGUUUCAUUGUAAUUUAUAGUAGAAUUUUAUUUUUUAGUCAAAAAGCUAAAAUAAAUUUAAAAGACAAGAAGACCCUAUAAAUCUUUAUAUUUAAAGUAUUAUAGUUUUAUAGAUUAUUUUUACUAUAAUAUUCAAUAAUAUUUUAUUGGGGUGAUAUUAAAAUUUAAUUAACUUUUAAUUAUUUAAAUCAUUAAUUUAUGAAUAAUUGAUCCAUUAUUAGUGAUUAAAAAAAUAAGUUACUUUAGGGAUAACAGCGUAAUUUUUUUGGAGAGUUCAUAUCGAUAAAAAAGAUUGCGACCUCGAUGUUGGAUUAAGAUAUAAUUUUAGGUGUAGCUGCUUAAAUUUUAAGUCUG